This is a long non-coding RNA of Bos taurus (domestic cattle), 1224 nucleotides long. NCBI's taxonomy places the organism in Eukaryota, Metazoa, Chordata, Mammalia, Artiodactyla, Bovidae. The record is from Ensembl.
GGAGAGGGAAAAUGGGAAGCAUGUUUCAAAAAGAGGAAGGCGCUUAUUUGGGCAGGUGUAAGACAUUAGGCUGGCUGAAUUCGCUCAGUCGUGUCUGACUCUUUGCGACCCUACAGACUAUAGUCCACCAGGCUCCUCCGUCCAUGGGAUUCUCCAGAUUUUUCUGACUUGGAGACUGGACUUUGGGGCUCUGAUGUCUUUUUCUCAAGAAGGCCUUGAGUUCCUAGAAGGUUCUGAGUCACCUCUUCCCCAGUGUCCAGCUCUGCACAUCAAUGGGAGAGACAGUUUUUGCUAAGACAAAAAAAUUAAAUAAGUGAAGACUGAGAAGGAUCCAUUGGAUUGGACUUGGAAUCAUUGUUGGGUAGACAUAUGGCUGCAGUGGUUUGAAGAGUGAAUGAAAGUAGAGACACCCUAUUUGGAUGGAUAUCACUAUGCACAGCUUACACUCAAGGAAUGAGGAGACAGGCUCCAUCUCUGUGUGAGUAGAGUAUCUACACAGAUUAUGAAGAAAUCUUCUGAACCACAGCCUUUUCUUUCCAAGUGAUAAAAUCCCAAAUAGAACCAAGGCAAAAGGAGGAUGAUGUCAGAAUUCCGGGGUAUUGCACAUGAUUGAAUGAAGAAGUACAUCACCAGAUCAAGGAUGAAGCUGUCUUUAAGAACAACCUGAACAGAAAUUGAAUGCUGCUGAGAUUCUUGUCUUUCUCUCUUCCCCUUCUAUAAGCUUUCACUUUGAACUUGUGGGAAUGGGUGGGGAGGGUAGGAGGACAGGCAGAAGAAGAAUCUGCUACACAAAAAUCAAGAACUUUUAGGGGGGAUCCAUCAAAACGAGGUUCAGAUUCAGUUUUGCAAGCUUAACUUGGGUUAUCUAACAGCUCAGAAGGGAUAAAGAUCUGCUCAAUAGUAACUCUCAGGCUUUUUGGGGUAGAAUUACAUGUAAUGAGGUAUGUAAGGCACUUAGCAUAGCAGCUGGCCUAUAGUAGCUACUCAGUACAUAGUAUUGUUAUUAUUAUAAAUUUAAGACAUUAUUUGAUGAAAGUAUUUCUUGCCUGCUAUUCAAUCAUCCCCUUAGCUGAAAAGCCAGCAUACAAAAAGUGCAAAGGUCAGCUUUAAUAGAUUUUAAGAUGCCAUUAACUAUGAGUCAUUAUUUUAUGUACUGCUGCAAAAGGAAAUAUGCUGCCAAUCUACUAUGGUUCACUUUUUUAUGACUUGAAGUUUCUAUUUUAC